GCCUUCGUGGUGUAGUGGUCAGCACGCUUGACGUGUAACCGAGAGGUCCGUGGUUCGAUUCCCGGCGAAGGCG
Molecule: transfer RNA, 73 nt
Filed under: Stegodyphus mimosarum
Lineage: Eukaryota; Metazoa; Arthropoda; Arachnida; Araneae; Eresidae
Rfam family: tRNA
About the family: Transfer RNA (tRNA) molecules are approximately 80 nucleotides in length. Their secondary structure includes four short double-helical elements and three loops (D, anti-codon, and T loops). Further hydrogen bonds mediate the characteristic L-shaped molecular structure. tRNAs have two regions of fundamental functional importance: the anti-codon, which is responsible for specific mRNA codon recognition, and the 3' end, to which the tRNAs corresponding amino acid is attached (by aminoacyl-tRNA synthetases). tRNAs cope with the degeneracy of the genetic code in two manners: having more than one tRNA (with a specific anti-codon) for a particular amino acid; and 'wobble' base-pairing, i.e. permitting non-standard base-pairing at the 3rd anti-codon position.
Source: Rfam by way of RNAcentral